ACUGCUCCAUGUGCCUCGCGCCGGCGGCCGACGGGACGAAGGACGCGGCCACGCCGCCCUUUCCCAGACGCCCCGGUAGCGCCGCCUUCUUCUCCCCCUGAUGCCCCUCACGAGCGCCUCCGCGACGAGGACCUGCUCCAUCUCCCUCUGCUGCCCCGUUUGAGCGCCGCCGCGAUCUUGAGAUGCUCCAGCGACGCCGCCCCGAUCGAGCUCCUCUGCAACCAGCAAGACCUCCGCCUUCAUCUCCCUCGGCCGCCGCCGGUAGUACGUGUUCCUUCUUCCCUCUUCGGUCGCGGUCGAGCGACGCCACGUGCUCCAGCGACGCCGCCCCGACCUAGCUCAUUCACCUGCACGCCCUCCACUCUGGCCCCGACGACUAGGAAAGCUCAGCAUGCCGUCCCGCGUCAACUUCUCCAACGCCUGGCGGCUCAUCGGCGACACGGCCAUGAACCCCGUCGACAUAGUCUUCGGAAGGGCUUGAUGGAGAGGGAGAGGGAUCAGUUUUCGGUCAGCAUACGGGUCAUGGCUGUCAACAAUGACCACGUGUGCCUCAAUGUUAUGAAGGUCAUCCUCCAGCACUGCCAGUAUCAUGUAGCAGGAGCAAGACAGUGCCUUCUAUAUCCUCAAUUCCCUAUCUUCAAAUGCUUCAUAGCAAGGAUGGGUUCCCUUUGGUAA
Molecule: ribosomal RNA, 675 nt
Filed under: Triticum aestivum (bread wheat)
Lineage: Eukaryota; Viridiplantae; Streptophyta; Magnoliopsida; Poales; Poaceae
Description: partial small subunit ribosomal RNA
Source: RNAcentral